Long non-coding RNA from Lolium rigidum, 1297 nucleotides. RefSeq lists it as uncharacterized. The record is from RefSeq and is a predicted model, not a curated record. NCBI's taxonomy places the organism in Eukaryota, Viridiplantae, Streptophyta, Magnoliopsida, Poales, Poaceae. The transcript has 3 exons.
CUUACCUACCACCACCACCCUCUCCCGGUCUCCCCCGAGCUCGUUCACCUCCUCGAUCGAUUGAUGUCCACAUCUCAUCAUGGCUGCCGCGGCGGGAAGCAAUGGGGCGACGACGAGGAGGCCGGAGGGUGGUGAAGCGGCUGAGCUUCGGGGGCUCAUGGGAGGAGAAGGCAGAGGUGGCAGCAGAGGUCGGGAGAUGCAGAUGAAGCAGGAGAAGGCGAUGUGGCAGCAGAGGUCGGGAGUUAGGCUGCUUCAGGCGUUGUCCGCCGAGCGGAUGAAGCAGGUGCUCCCGGAGCUGGACGUCGUGCCGACGCUCCUGUCCAUGCUUGUGAACGCCGGGGGAGGAGGAGGCGAUGGCGCGCAGAUAGCCGUGUGGUGAGGGUGCUGCUCGAUCGAUCUCACGAGAGGAAUGCACAGAAUGCGCUCAUGACCGAAACACCUAAGAAUUAUCCAGCUACAGUAUAGCAGCAUUCCUAGAGAUAAAUUUCGGUUGCAUCUAUAUUGGAUCAAACUAAGGCGGCGUGCAAGCUAACAUUAGCUCUCAUCACUCAGAGCUGCACUUGAAGAUCUUCUAAAGGACUAAUUCUAUUGCAAGCAGUUUGCAAGAAAAUUAUAUGCUCUCAUCACUUAGAGUUGAUAUUGAAGAAUUCUGAACACUUAUAGCAUGUGGGUAUGUAUCCAUUAACCCCUUUUAACUUAUUGUUUUCUUCAAUAGGUUGGAAAAAUUAGAGCUUUGUAGACAUCUCACGAAACUAUUUUGUGAACAAUUGUGUGUGCUUUUCUAUAGGCAAGCCCCAACUGUACUUACUUGGAAAGUUUGCUAGUUUAAUUUAUACUCAUUUUUUAGUCAAAUAUCCUUGCAUAUUCCUCAUUAGAAAAUAAAACGUACCAUCCCCAUCCUCAUAUCCAACUGGGAUCGUACCAACACGAAUUUCACGCCUCCGAGCAUCCAUAUCAAUGGAAGACUUAACACAUGGAACAACAUCUGCGUGCAAAACAGAAGACCCGACAAUUGGUAAAUCCACAACUGAGACAAAAAAAAGCAAUGGCAUGCCAUAUCAUCUGUAUGUAAUAAUAAAGCUACAUGGCAUCAACUAAGAAAAUAGUGGCCAUGCGAUUAAGAAUUGAAGUUAGACUACUUACUGCUAUUAAUUAAGCGGAAAUAACCGCUGCUAUCUUCUCUAAGGACGCAUCAUGCAUGAAUAUUAAUAUGUUGUCUACACAAAUAAUGUGAAGAGAGACAUCUUUUUAGAUUGCAUACAUCCUUCAGCAGAGUAGUUGUCUCAUAUAGAAGGCA